UAAACCGCAAUAGAUCAAAAUCUCUGGAAUGAUUCUUGAUUCAAGUCUAUAUGGCCUCUGGAUUGGACUGCGGCCGAUCAGGCUGUUGGUGAGGUAAUGGCCCACCAAACCUGUAACCGGUACGGGCUCUGAGAGGAGAAGCCCGGAGAUGGGCACUGAGACAAGGGCCCAGGUCCUAUGGGGCGCAGCAGGCGCGAAACCUCUGCAAUAGGCGAAAGCUUGACAGGGUUACUCUGAGUGAUUUUCGCUAAGAAAAUCUUUUGGCACCUCUAAAAAUGGUGCAGAAUAAGGGGUGGGCAAGUCUGGUGUCAGCCGCCGCGGUAAUACCAGCACCCCGAGUGGUCGGACGAUUAUUGGGCCUAAAGCAUCCGUAGCCGGUCCCACAAGUCCUCCGUUAAAUCCAACUGCUUAACAGAUGGGCCGCGGAGGAUACUAUGGGGCUAGGAGGCAGGAGAGGCAAGCGGUACUCAGUGGGUAGGGGUAAAAUCCGUUGAUCCACUGAAGACCACCAGUGGCGAAGGCGGCUUGCCAGAAUGCGCUCGACGGUGAGGGAUGAAAGCUGGGGGAGCGAACCGGAUUAGAUACCCGGGUAGUCCCAGCCGUAAACGAUGCAGACUCGGUGAUGGACUGGCCUUGCGCUAGUCCAGUGCCGCAGGGAAGCCGUUAAGUCUGCCGCCUGGGUAGUACGGUCGCAAGACUGAAACUUAA
RNAcentral lists this ribosomal RNA (708 nucleotides) under uncultured archaeon. RNAcentral's name for it is "bacterial SSU rRNA". It matches the Rfam family "Archaeal small subunit ribosomal RNA", at positions 147 to 859 of the family's 1478-position model. The record is from RNAcentral.